UCUCUUUCUCUUCUUCAGACGCGGGUUCCUCAACCUGAAAUUCUGCAUCUUCAUCACUCAGAGUGGAUCCCUCAGCCAUAAUCGAAUCUUCGUGGUCCUCUUCCUCAGAUAUCUCUAGUGUUUAUUCCUCCGACUGCAUGGCUUCUACCUCGACUAUCUCAUUCUGAUCAUCCUUAGGUAAUAAUAUGUACUUAUCAUUCAUUGAAUGAACCACGUCAUGAUGCAAAUUUGAUGUUAAUAACACGUCUUCUUUAAAUAAAAAAAUCUGCAUAUAUAUAUAUAUAAGACUUGUUUCAGAAUUCAAAUCACACCUUGUUUUGAAAAAUUAAUGAUAAUUUACAUACCUUCUUUGUUCUCAUUUAUUCUGCAAUGA
Molecule: long non-coding RNA, 373 nt
Filed under: Zostera marina
Lineage: Eukaryota; Viridiplantae; Streptophyta; Magnoliopsida; Alismatales; Zosteraceae
Description: long non-coding RNA (ZMAR_LNC002184)
Source: RNAcentral